UAGUCUUGUAUAUCCGAAUAUUGGUACGC
RNAcentral lists this small RNA (29 nucleotides) under Bombyx mori (domestic silkworm). RNAcentral describes it as "ovarian small RNA-23035". The record is from RNAcentral. Lineage: Eukaryota; Metazoa; Arthropoda; Insecta; Lepidoptera; Bombycidae.